UGUCAUUGCUGGCUCUUUCGGUAGCUUUUGAAACUUGGGAAGCUGCUUGUUAAAGAGUGGGAUUUUUUCACUCAGGGACUCGUGCCCUGACACGAGUGUGGCUUUGCGAGCCAGCACAAAACCCCAGGAAGGUCUUUGGUGUUACCUGGAAGAGUUCCCUGGUCUGGUUUGCUGUGUUUGUGGGGUGUGCAGACAGCUGCUCUGGCACAGGGGCUGCUGUGGUGAUGGGAACAAACAACUGGGAAAGCAGUUUCAUCUGUUCCCAUAAACCAGUUUGUGCAGUGAUGCUGGUUGUGCUGCCAGGGAAGGAUUUGGGGAGCUAACCUGAGCUUGGAAAUCAAGGCCCUGACAACUUUUUUUUUUUUUUUCCCCCUCAAGUGUACUCAGUUACUUCUUAGCCAAGCAGAAACUGGUCUUGCAUAAUUUCUCAUCUGUGCUUCUCCAAAAUGGCCUGUGGCACAGAUGGAGGAUCUCUGUCCCAGAAUUACCCUGCUGAAAGGUGUUCUUACACAUGUGUGUGUCUUGCUGUGCAGGUAUUUAUUACCAGUAUUUUAAUUUGUCAGGUUGCCUAGUGGAAGUGCAGCCAGUAGAACAGAGCCCAUGCAGUGGCUUGUAUAAUUCUGUUGGAGAGAGUCCAGAAGAGGCCACAAAGUUGAUAAGAGGACUGGGGCACCUCCCCUGCAGAGACGGGCUGGGAAAGUUGGGGUGUUUAGCCUGGAGAAGAGAAGGUUGUGUGAAGACCUCAGAACGCCUUUCAGAAUCUGAAGAGACCUGCAAGGAAGCUGGAGAAGAACUCUUCAUCAGGAGCUGGAGUGACAGGACAAGGGGGAAUGGGUACAAACUGGAAAAGGGGAAAAUUAGUUUAGAUACUCGGAAGGAAUUGUUCCCUGGGAGGGUGGGAAGGCCCUGGGAUUGCCGAGCAGCUGUGGCUGCCCCUGGAUCCCUGGCAGUGUCCAAGGCCAGGUUGGACACUGGGGCUUGGAGCAGCCUGGGACAGUGGGAGGUGUCCCUGCUCAUGGUGGGGGGUGUGAUGAUCUUCCAACCCCUUAACGUUUUAUGGUUCUAUAGUUUUGUUUUUCUUACAAACAGAUUAUUUGAAAAAAGUUUGAAUGCAAUCCUCCAAGAUUCAGUGAUUCAAAAGACAUAAUCUGACUCUAUUUCAUGAUUGAGUCUGAUUGACUUGAUGUUAUUAAAGUUUAUGGAUGCCUUAUAUCCCUGUAAAUCAGAUUUUUCUUGAUUCUGAUGAAAUCUAGGGAAGGAAUUAAUUCUGUGGAAUUAUUGGAGGUUUAAGUUGUCUCUAAGUAGGUUAAUUUUGUCAAAUGUGCCAUUCCCAAUUAUUUGAAUGUAUUCUGGUUCUUCAAGAUCAGCUUGUUUCUGAAUGUAUUUCCCAACAUUUCUAAUUUUAGAUGCUUUGAUGGGGGGCUUAGUUUGAUAUAUUUUUCAUCUGUAUGUGUGGUUGCAGCUGUUACUACCAGGUGCAUGUUUGUUAAAUGUAAGGUUUGUUCUCCAUUUGGAGUAUCCAAUAACUACUCAGAUUAACUUUGGAUCAUACUUGCCAACAAGCUUCAUCACUGGAAUUUUGUUUUAAAAGGAGCCUCUGCAAAAUGUAGAAUGUAAAGAAACUUUAAAGAAAAUAAAGGAUGAUUAUGCAUGGACAUUGUGAGCAAAUUAACAUGUAAAAGCUGAAACACUUACAUUGGUUGAAAGUAUGAGAAUUACUGGUUUUUGUAGUGUAAAUAUUCCACUAAAGGGCAAAGUUGUGUACUCUGAAUAGUUCAGUGUUUUUAGCAGUAACGUUUUCAAUAUAAAAAUAGUUGGAUAAAGUAAUAUCCUGGAGCUAAUCUGUCUUUUUUUAGAUCUGUAGUUUCAGCUCUUUUACAUUUAGAGACCCUGAAAUUUUCUUUAAUGAAGAUUUGGACCUUGUGUGAUUAAUUUAAAUCUAAUGACAUCAGGUUCUUUUUCUGCAGAGAGCCUUAGAAGUAGCUCAGAUACCCUGAGGCACGUUCUAUCAGCAGCUGGGAAAGAAUUUUGCAGAGAGGAGUUUGGUUUUGAAGGGGGAGAGAGGAUAAGGACAGAAGAAGCUGCUUCAUUUCGGUGGGGGAACCUUGAGUAGAUGGAGAUGCUAACAUUUUUCAUCUUGGUAAAUUUUCUUUGAGUCUUCUGCCCAUGUAGAGAGAUCUGUUCUGUACUUUGGUGGCUUUGGGAGUGUAUCCUGCUGGAGCACCCUUUCCCCCUUGGCAGUGGGGCUUUUCCAGCUCCAGGCUUCUCCUGUAACUGCUGUAAAAGUGGAAAUGCAAAACCCCAGGCACAGGGUUUUGUCUCUUGUUCCUCAUCAAAUCCUCUGGAACUGAUUGUUGCCCAGGACGUUUUGCAGAGGGAGAUAAUUAAUCUCUGAGAAACUGCCUUCUGUCUUUCUGGCCCUGAAAAUCUUAUCAGUGGAUCAAAUGCAGUGGCUGUUACCCUAUUCCUUCAGGUACCAGCUUCUAUCCCAGAACUUCUGGGAUGUGGAGCACAGUUACUUGGGAUCACAGAAUAUGCUUGAAUGAACCCAUUCCUCUGAAUGCAGCAGAUGUUCCUGGGAACUCCAGAGGUUUCACUUUAUUGAUUCCAAAUAUUCUGCCAAAACGAAAUGACUUGCCAAAAUGCAAACACAGAAUUUCCCACCAGUUUCUCAUUGCUGACAGCUGUGCACAGAAAAGGGUGCCUGGAUUUUUUGUUUAUUUCUUCUCAUGUGUUCAGAUCACACUUCCUAUAACAAAUACUGGCAGGUAAGUAAGGUAAGUAAGGAAUCUUACUUUUUCUAGUUAAAACCCGUUACUUGUCGUGAAAGUAGAGACACUUCCCAGUGUUCAGAGGGAAAAGCAGACAGUGAGAUGCACAACGAGAACAUUAAAAAAAUUGCAGUAUUUCCAUUAGUGGUGUGAUACAAUGCACACAGACAAGACACUUCCUGAAGAUGUAAUUUUUUUACCAGGAAAAUUACUAUAAUACAGAAUAAUGUAAAACUGCCUUCAUUCCUGGUGUUGCUUCUGAGUGCCAAGUCUUGAGCUUUUUUAGCUGUCAGCCUCAUUCUUCUGCAAAUAGCACAAUUUAGUUAAUAUUUUCCACUUGGAGCCCACAUGCAACAGCUCGGACAGGUUCAGAUAAAUGGUGCCAGACAGUGACUAGCUGGGGGGCAAUAUUAACCUAGAAAGCUGUUAUGUAGCAAGAAACACAUUCUUAUUUAAAAAGGUGAUUGUUCCACAGAUUGGACAAUGAUUCAGAGACAAAUAAGUGUUUUCUCUAAGUGGGUAGACAGUCACGGGCUACUAUGCUUAAAGCAUAAAAAAGCCUUCAUUUGCAGCUACUAAGGGGUUGCAAAUUCGUGGGUAUUUCUGAAAAACACAUUGAUGAAAAGCUGCAGGAGAAACUGAAAUAGAAAAUCUGUCACAGCACAGCAGAUACUGUGCAAUUUUGUGUUAGCAGCUCUCCCAGCUCUGUGUAACUUCAGCUGGAGUUUGGUGUCUGAGCCUUCUAAAAUUAAAAUCCUCAGUAUUCUGAUUACAGCUGAAGUGUGUAAGAAUAUUAAAAAGUAGCUUUGGUUUCCUAGUUACAAUGCGUUCAUCCCAGCUCAUUGUGUAUGUAAAGAAAUUCAGGAAAAUCCAAAUGGAAAGAUGGAUGAUAUGGCGAGCAUUUUCUGUAAUUCUGUCCAGACAAUAAGUCCCAGCAAAGAAAAGCAAGGAAAAAAAAAAUUCUAAUGCUUAUUAUAAAAGAAAAAAAAAAAAGAAGGCAUAUGUUUUGGUUCAUGUUUAGCAAGGUUAAUUUCCAGAAGAACAAAGGGAAUGAUUGUGCAAAAUUUUGCUUUAGUACAGUAAUGCUGUUAAUGUCCUGCUUUCCUGUAAAUGUGGCUUUAGGGAUCGAGUUUCUUGGCAGAAAGCAGCAUGGCUUGCCUCAGUUCUUGAGAAGGUUCAUGUAAGUGAAUCAGAGAGAGCACCAAGGAGCUAUUAGGGCUAUGGUACACUGGAAAAGUGAGCUUGAUGCUUUCAUUCCUCAUCAGUCAGUUUGGCCUCAAAUGACAGUAUUCUGGGAUAAGAGAUUCCACAGAGAUGGACAGCAAUUUCCAGAAUUUCAGCAAGUCCAUUCGUGUUUGUGCACUGCUGAGAUGCUGGAAAAGCGUGGUGUAUGAUGAGUAGAUUAUUUUUCUUUUCAGCAAUGGUAUCCAAGUGUUAGAGGUGAUUUGUGGUAAGUUCUUGUCUAAUAAAUAGUGCAAAAGUUAGGAAGCAAAGGUAUUGGCUUGCUGGAAAAAAAAUGUGUUUUCAUUUCUUUGUUUCAUCAGACAGUGCCAGGGUGCUGUUGUGUCACUAAUUUAAUUUCUGAUGUUAACAUGCUGGUUCUUCGAUAACAAAAUGUGUAUUUCAAGGAGAUUUGCAAUUUAUAACAACUUCAGACUUAUUCUUGUGCCUUUCUGUGCACUAUAAAGACAUGUCCAUGGUGUGAGAUGAGGAAAUAAUACUUGCUUUCAGGUCAUGAACAGAAGUUCUGCCCUGUGACAGCUGAGGGUCAGCUUUGCAUUUCUAUGGCCUGGGCACUCUUGACUGAUGUCAUCUCCACAUGGAUUCAUUUAUUACUGAGGGGAAAGCUCGAGUGGCAUAGCAAAAAUAGCCAAGAUACAGAAUUAGUGAUGUCUUUGUGUUCAGGCUACUGACUGAAUUUAUUGUCAAUUCUGGACUGUAAAAUUACAUUACAUGUGAUGAAUUUACAUGAUGAAUUCAGCCCCCAAAAUAGAAUGGGGAUUUAUUUAGUAAGUGUUGCUUUACAGUUCUGAAGGAUAGAAGCAGUGCACUGGAAGAGGCCUUUUUGCCUGACCUGCUUUUCUGUCAAUUUAACACUCUUUCCCCCAGUUCCCUGUGACAGUUCUUUACACAAGAGCCACUGAUAUAUGGACAAGAGAAAAGCUGAUUGCCUCUCCAGAACCAGCAUCCUGCUGUGGACCAAACUGGCUGUAAUGUGUUGGUUUUUUUUUUUUUCCCAGGGAUUUGUGAGCUACAUGUGCUUAAACAGCCCUGUGUGUACAUAUAAUUUUGCAUGCUGAAAGUGAAGAGACAAAAUUUGUCUGUUCCAUUACAUAGUUGCCUUUCCCUCUCUCAAUUAUACAAAUGACAUCUCUCCAAUGUCUUUCUCUUUGUUAUGUUCACAGAGGUCAUAGAACUGGGUCACGUGUGACCACUUCAAGAAGAAUAUGUCCUGGAGAGCCACAGCAAAAGUGUUUCUGUUUGAAAACAACCCUCAUGCUAAAAUCUCACACAUGAGCUGCACUGUUUUGGUUGUCAGACCCUUGAUGACUUCUUACAGCAUCUUUCUUGGUGUUGUCAUGGACAUUCUUCAGGGGAAAAAACCCAUAAACCUUAAAAAGAAAAAGUUUUUAAUGGGCACAAAUAUCUAGAUCUACCAAGAACUAAUUAGAGUAAUUGCACAAAGGAUAAAGUGCAUGACCACAUAUUUCUCUUCAUCUGAGAAGGCCAAAACCUGGUGUGAAGUCUCUUGGCGCUCCAAACGUGGAACUUCCUUGCCAGGCAUCUCUCCUUUUCCUGAUUAGCCUUGCCCAAAGAGCAGUCUGGUAUCAUAAAGAAACUGCCAAAGUUUGCAUCACUUGAUGCCAUUAGGAGGUAGGAAUGAUUUUCUUUUCCUGAGUACCUGGAAAAUCCAAGACUGCUGUCUAACUGAGGCAGGGGCUGCACUUUGGAGAGGGUGUGGAGAGAGCAGGACAUUUCUUGGCAUCAGCAGUGGAAAUAUCAGUGCUGAUAAACUCGUGGGAGGCAAAGGCUCUUCCUCACCGUGGUGUGAAACUCCUGCUCUGAGGAUGGAGCUGCACAUCCUGGAGGUUCCCCCCUUGUGAGAGACCUGUGGGCUGGCACUGAGCUUCCACACUUCCAUUGCUCAGUUCCCAGGUGCUGAUGGAACAAACCCUGCUGGAGAGCCCUGGGCAAGCUGGAGCUCUGCCCUCCUCUGUUUCUACAGCAGCUUCAGCUCAGCAGAUGCUUCAGAGUGACUCGGUGGAGAAACCAUGGCAAAUGCCCACAUUUCCAUAAGAAAUGUGUCAAAAUGCAGAGUCAGAGCAGCAGCAGGAGCUCCUGCUGCUGCCGAGCCUUGCCCAGCGUGGAUUAGCCCAGCACUGCCUUCUGGGCAAAACUGAAUUUUUUUUCAGGCUUGGCUUGUUCCUGACAGACACCUGGUGCAGGGGUUCUUACAAGGAGUUUGUAGUCUUCAUCUGGAGGAAGGCCAUGGAAAACACAGAGAUGCUUUGAUUUUAAUUGCAUGGAUGAUUUAGUAUCAAUCUAAAAAAAAAAAAUUAAAAAAAAAUUUCAAAGCAACAGUUGCACUUGACAGCCAGCCAGGAUUUUCUUAAAAAAAAAAAAUACCAGAAGAAGAAGAAGAAAAGAGAAAAGCAUUUCCUCACUGUGUACAGUGAGAUCUGUGAAGUCACCAGUGAAUUUUCUGUUUGUUCAGAAUCCCCUCAGAGACACAGAUUUGGGUUCAUAACUUGUCUGGCCAUUACAUUUUGGCAGAAAUAUUAAAACAUGGAUUCUUAUCCUUGCAGCCCAAGUUUCCCUGUACCUCAAACUUUCAUUUCAUACUGGUUUUAAUCAUUUGUUGUUUCAGUCAUCUGGUGCUUUUCUGCCCACUUUAAAAGCUCCUCACUUCCUUUGUACUGAGUAAUUCAGUAUUUGUUCUGGAUUAGUCACAAUUACAGGUAUGAACAGGAAGGAAAAAAGAAACAAUACACCUCCCCCAAACAACUUACUUUGUUCCUUCUUCUAAACAAAUCUAUUUAAAUGUUACUAUCUUCAAACCAGGUUAAAAUGUGCUGGGUUUUUCGCAAACCUGCCUGAAUUCCUUCCUCAGUAUUCACACAGUAGGAGCAGGAUGCUAUCCCAUACCUGGUCUGUAUCUUAGGAUCCUUAAAUCAAAUGCUUCUGCUUUGAAGGGCUCCUCCUCCUUCUGCUCUGCUUUUGGUUGACCUGGCUCAGGGGCACACACAGCAAUAGGUUCUUCAAAGUGAGAAGCUUCCUAUAGAUUUUUAAAUUUAAUGCAUCAAUAGAAGCUCUGGCACAAACUGUGAAACAAGAUCUGGGGUUUGGACUAUAGAUUCAGCUCUGACACAACUUAGGAAAAUCUCU
Cinclus cinclus is the source of this 7157-nucleotide long non-coding RNA. RefSeq lists it as uncharacterized. The transcript has 3 exons. The record is from RefSeq and is a predicted model, not a curated record. NCBI's taxonomy places the organism in Eukaryota, Metazoa, Chordata, Aves, Passeriformes, Cinclidae.